CAGCCUCAUACUUCAAGCAGGGCUUGCUUCAGGAAAACAAGGGGAGGAGAUAAGGCUAGUUCUGGAAUUCCUCUCCUUCCACCCAUGUCUCUCCAUGCAGCUCCCAAAGCCAUUGGAACACUCCCUCAGCUACAGUAACUCCUUCCGAAAGAAGAGCAGACUCCGAGACUCUUUCAUAUAACGGUGGCUGGGUAAAGGGUAGUAAAUGGCAUUUGUGAUUUCUUGGUAGCGGUGGAAGGUCAGAACCCACAUGCACAAUUCCUUGCCGCAAUAUGCAGUGCCUGGAUUCCUGAUCACAGAAACUGUCACCUUACUGUCAAGAGAUGGCUGCUGGAGCUCCAUCCACCACUUCCGCCUUGCAGACAUCUGGAAGAUAAAAAAGGAGAUAGGUAAAGGCACCUGCAUCCCAGUCGAAUCAACUUUUGAAGAUCCUUCCUUGAAAUAUCCCCAAAUAACUUCUGCUUAAAUCUCAUUGGCCGCCUGUAUCUAUAAGAGAGGUUCGGAAAUGUGCUUUUCCAGCCGGGCACUUUGCAGCGUCUAGCUGUGUGGGUGUCUAUGACUAAGGAAGCAGGGGGGAUGGCGACGGUGGGGAAGUAGCGGCCUGUGCUGCGGGAGCUGUGGUUCUGCUUCCUUCCCUGGGCAGGCCCCCCACUGCGAAGCGAUGGUGAGGGCUGGGGAAGGACCCAAGCAACAAGCUACCUGGACAGGCCCUGAGGCUCAGAGAGAGCUCACUUGCCCAGGUCACGUGGAGAUGGUAAAGUGAGAAGGGGUCUCACCCCAGGUCUGUCUGGCCUCAAAGAGCCUGGACUUUGAACUUGGAUGUUGGGCUGCUGCAGACCAGGUUGACAAAGAGGGGCAAAGGAAGAGGGACAGGCGAGAAAAGAGGGGAUGGA
This is a long non-coding RNA of Equus quagga, 893 nucleotides long. RefSeq lists it as uncharacterized. The transcript has 3 exons. The record is from RefSeq and is a predicted model, not a curated record. Lineage: Eukaryota; Metazoa; Chordata; Mammalia; Perissodactyla; Equidae.